This is a long non-coding RNA of Fukomys damarensis (Damara mole-rat), 358 nucleotides long. RefSeq lists it as uncharacterized. Lineage: Eukaryota; Metazoa; Chordata; Mammalia; Rodentia; Bathyergidae. The record is from RefSeq and is a predicted model, not a curated record. The transcript is spliced from 3 exons.
AUUCUCCUGUCUUCAAAUUGCUGUAACGCAGAGCCGUGACACAGAUCCAUAGCACUUGGCUGUAAUGCUAGCUGCCUUACUUUCCUCCAGCAAUAGCUCAUCGUCACUAUUCUUGAAUGAAGUCAUUUGUGAAAUACAAAGCUGAUUAUCAAAAGGACUGCGCUGACUGAAGGGAGACUUGGACUUGGGAACCAACCCCUUCACCUUUCCCACGUACGCUCAUCUAAGGCAGCUCUGUGAAAUUCCAAAAAUCUAAGAGUGGAAAAGUUUAGAAAGUAAGCUGCAAGUGGAUAUCACCGAAUGAAAAGAAUAAGCUAAAUUCGCCCCAGAACCAGAACACAUAAACCAUCAGGAUUUA